Molecule: transfer RNA, 96 nt
Filed under: Deltaproteobacteria bacterium
Lineage: Bacteria; Pseudomonadati; Myxococcota; Myxococcia
Also listed under: 1 other name
Description: tRNA-Sec
Rfam family: Selenocysteine transfer RNA
Source: RNAcentral
GGGAGUAGCUCGCGGCCUGGUGGCGCGCCCGGUCUUCAAAACCGGUGUGGGGCGUGAUCCGUCCCGGGUGGGUUCGAUUCCCAUCUACUCCCGCCA